Molecule: microRNA precursor, 77 nt
Filed under: Notamacropus eugenii (tammar wallaby)
Lineage: Eukaryota; Metazoa; Chordata; Mammalia; Diprotodontia; Macropodidae
Description: miRNA (ENSMEUG00000017708.1)
Source: RNAcentral
GUCAGGGCUGGGCUGGGCUGGGCUGAGCCCGGAGCUGGGGGCUCCCUGCUGCUGCUCCCGCCUGCCUGCCUUCCUGC